Molecule: long non-coding RNA, 649 nt
Organism: Tyto alba (common barn owl)
Lineage: Eukaryota; Metazoa; Chordata; Aves; Strigiformes; Tytonidae
Exons: 3
Source: RefSeq, a predicted model, not a curated record
CGCUCCGAUACACCUGCAGGGAAAAAGAGGGGAACAAAGGAAGGGUGAUUAGAUGUGCAGCUACGGCGUCAGGAAACAACAGCCUGCAUGAGUCAUAAAGAAAAUGGACCCCUUGGCGUACCAGCUGGUGAAGUACCUCAUCUACUUGACAGCUUGUGAUGUGACAGCUGUGGAGACAGUCCACUCCUCUGCUAGUGACAAGUUACCUGCAUAAAAAAACUACUCGGCAGGUCUGGCUCUGAAGGGACACCAGCGCAAAAGCUUGAGACUUCACGUACCUGAAUAUACAGUGGAGAUUCAAUUCUGGUAUAACAGUAAAGCAAACUGUUCACGUGCUACUGAUUAGAACAUAAGUUUUAUGCGUGUAUAAAUAUUAUUUAACAUGUGUAUAUGUAUACAUACAUCUACAUUGUUCAUAGGCAUAGCCUCCUGGAAGCACCCUCUCACUGCAGGGUUUUGUUCACACUGAUAGUGAACGCGGCGGUCCUGGCCAUGGGACUUAACUGGGUGAGUUGCAAUAGAAACACCAUUUACCCACGUGCUUGCAAGUAACUGCACAGUAACUGUAAAGCAGCAUCUGUGCUAUGCACCACCUAGAUUGAAGAAUUAAAGCCACAGUCUGAGCAGCAUAAGCAUGUUACACACCAAG